GUAAGAGAGUUCAAGUAAGUUUUUACCUAAUAUUGAGUGCCAAGAAUAAAAUAAAUUGACUUAAUGUGAUAGAGAUGGUUGGGCCACCUAGUUUAUCUAGGGCAGUAUGGUAGUGGAAGGCAGCUUUAGGAAAUACAACUGAAAUCUAGGAAGGAGGACUAUGCUGUUUUAACUGAAUAAGGUAGGAAAAUGAUACUAGCAGGAGAUUAACCUUUGCAAUGUAAUGUGGUCUCACCCAGAGACCAGAUCAUUAUCAGGGACUCUUCCCCCAAGAGGGGAAGAGGGCACUGCAAGAGGGGAGGUCAGGGACUGCCUCCACCCAUAGACAUCUGAAUCUUCCCCAUCUCAUGGUAGAACCAUGUGGAGUAGAUAAUGAGAAUAACUGAAAACCCACUCAGAAGCCAGGAGACCGGAGGAUUGGAACCUCCAGAGAGAGGAGAACUACAGGAGAGAGGGAGAGGAUGUAUGGAAGAUUGGCAAGAGGGAGUUACUCAUCAACCACUGAUGGGGUGGCCAUAUGGGGCUCCCAAAAAAGGGAUUGAGACCCGCUGCUGUAGUCAGUACCCAGGAAGGAGUUACCUAGUCUAGGGAUACCAACCUCAACUCCUCACCACACUUUGAAUGUUGUACAGCGUGGAUAACAUCACUGUAUGAGAUGCAUUACAUCACCUGGAUUUGAGUGAAGACCCAAUCGUACAGUCUUCUGGGUUUUGUGGGUGCCGAUUUGAGGCAGUGGUAGGACCCGAUCCUCCCUCACCACCCACAGUCAGUUGUCUGGAUCCUUCCAAUGGGGCUGACAGGUUGGAUCCCCAGAGGCAAUUCUACCAGAAAGACUUUGUCUUCUGAUCACUCUACUCCAUCCACACCAAAUUAUAUUCACUUUUUGAGAAAAUUAUAUUUUUUAGUCACUCAUUUCUGAACACAUCUUCCCCUACCCCAUGAAGAAUGUGUACAAUUAAGUUAACUAAAUCAGUCCAUGUCAGUGAUUCUGACCACAUCUACUUUGGCUGGUGCCAGGAUGUCCCUCUAGAUUUAAGAUGAACGAGGAUAAAUUAGUUCAUGAUAUGUGUUGAAAUUAUAGGAUCCUGUAGAAGAAAACCUUCAGUGAUGGGAACAUAUUAUUUUAGAGCUUAUAAAGAUUUCAAAUAUUGGAUUGGCAAAAAAGAAUUUAAAUGAUUGGAUCUAUUGUCUUUUAUUUUUUCAAACCUUAGAUAAAAUAUAAUUUAAAAACCACAGCCUUUGAGUGUUACUAGCUACUGGGAGUAGAAGAGGCAGCAGUGGUCCAGUUCCUACUUGCCAUACCUCUAGACCUCAUUCUGAGAGAAGAGGUUUGAGUUUGGGAAUAAUUUUAGCCCAUUAUUUUUCUGCCAUUUGCUGUUAUUGCCCUGAUUCAACCCAUAAACCGGGAUGUUACUCAAAAUACAAAAUAUUCUUAGGGGAGAAUUACUCCAUCAAACACAGGCACUAUAUAGGACUCUAAAAUGCUAAAAAGCUUUAACACAUUACAGAAAAGUUGAAGAAAAAUGUGGGCUUGGUAUUCUGGAGCUGCUGUCUUCCUUUAUCCCAUUUGUUUGUGACCUUGACUCUUUGAAUCAUGAUGUAAACCCAUGGAAUCAAAUCACUGACAUGCUUACGAUUCCCUAGUCCCAUUUGGUAGUUAUUAAUACUGUAGAGGUGGCAAGGACACUUUCAAUACACAGUGCCUCCUGUCAACAGAAAAUGGAAACCUUCCGGUAAAGUCCCCAGGGCACUGGCUUUGUCUUAAGUCUACACACUCUUAAAGUGGGGGUCUGAACUAUUCACCCUAAACUCAAUAUAAGUGAGGGAAAGAUAACAGUGUUGGAAUCCUUUGGGUUGGUAACAGAGAAUACCACUACUCCUACUACUACUACCACCACCAGUAAUAACAGUACAAACGAUAGCAAUUACCUGGUACUUACUAUGUUCUAGGGACUGUUCUAAGUGCGUCCCUAUGUUAACCAAUUUAAUCCUUAACAAAAGCAAUAGAUACCAUUACUACCCUCCUUUUAUAGAUGAGGAAACUGAGGCCCAGAGAGGUCACGAAUCUGAGAAGUGGGGGGGGAGUGGGGACAGGUGUUGGUACUGGCAGGUGAGUGAUACUGAUAAUAAAAGUGAAGAAGAUAUAAUUUUUCUGUGCGGUGAAGAAAGUCACUUGGGAAAAAACUGCUCCAUCUUUUGAGAGGAGAGAGUGGUGUCCAGCUCCCUGCCCCCCGGCCUUGGCGGCCCAGGCUCCACACCACCGUCAGAAGGACCAGGAUAGAGGCCAUGGGAGGUUGCUCUGAGACUUUUCUCGUGCACCACCAUGCAUCCCAGAAUCAUAAAAUGUUUAAGCUGGAAGGAUGGCUGGGGUUGCACUCAACUCCCUCAUUUUACAGACAGGGCCCUGAGUUGCCACGCAGACUUCAUGUUGAGUUACAGGCACACCUUUUCUUUGGUCCUAGGAAAGCCAACUUUCAGGGGCCAGUUAACUGAGCAGGCAUCUGGAGCCCAGUUUUUCGUGUCUUUCUUUACCUCCUGUUCCUGACAGGCAGGAAUGACCAGGAUAAAGUUUAGGAUAAAGGGGAGGAGAUUCUACCAGAUUUUAUGAAGAAACAUGUGACUGGGAAGGAGACCUUCAGGCGAGACUUAUUUAUAGCUCUGUGGAGUACAUGGAUUCUUGUUUAUGGGUAUGAGUAUUCAGGAACUAUGAAGCUUAAAUUCUUUUAAUGUUCUUAGUAGGUGCACUGGAGGAUUCAUUCUUUUAGUUUUCAUAUUGAUGCUAUUAGGAAAAGUCAGAUUUCUUCGCAGGAAGUCCUGCUGACCCCUCUUCAGGAGGGCUGCUAACCUGGGCAUUCUUUGCUGCUCCACAUUUCGGACACGGAAUCAUCACUGUUACCUGGACCCUUUGGAUGUGGACUGAUGGAUGCCAGUCUGGCAUGUUGGAGAGAAGGUGUGUGCUAAUGCUUGCUGUGUUUUAUCUGAUGGGCAUCUUGGCGUGAGAGAGGUUUAAACAUUUAUCAUAGUUAUUUCAUGACAAUACAUGGUGAAUUAAAAGUAAUGCGAUACAUGGUAAAACCUUCGAAGAAUACAAACAUAUUUCAGACUUAAAAGUGUCCUCCUGACUCCAGUUCUCCAAGUCCGCUGUCCUCCUUGGCAAAGGUAACCUGUAUUCCUAGUUUCUUGAGUGUCCCUGCAGAUAGUCUAUAUAUGUGGGUAUGUAUACUCUUAUAUAAUUAUUUUACACAAGUGGGAGAAUUUUGCAGAGGAGGUAUGCCAUAAGUGAAUGUGACUCAAAUCAACUGUAUAUAUCUGAAGUGAAAAAAAAAGUCCACUGCAUAUACUUGGAAAAACAACAACAAUAACAACAAUGAUAAUACCCAAACAAAAGAAACUAAAGCAGGAGGAAUCAGUGCUGGUGAUCUCACCUGCCAUUCCACUCAAUGCCUGAGCAGGAAAUGGACACAUCCACCCCUGUUCCUUCCGCUGGACUCACUCUCAGCACCUGCACAGCCUGCACCCAGGGUGAGGCUGCCUUUUAUUUUUAUUAUACUAUGGCAACAACACUUAACAUGACAUUUACCCUCUUAACAGAUUUGAAAGUGGGCAAUACAGUAUUGUUAACGGUAGGCACAGUCCUGAACUUGGUCGCCGUACAUUACUGAAAAUUUAUACCUGGUGAUAAGCAACUUCUCCUUUCCCCUUCCCCCAUGCCCUGGAACUUCCAUUCUAUUCUCUGAGUUUGACUAUUUUAGAUACCUCAUAGAAAUGGAAUCAUGCUGUAUUUGUCCUUCUGUGAUUGAUUGGCUCGUUUCACUUAGUGCGAUGCCCUCAAGUUUCAUCCAUGUUGCAAAAUUUCCUUCUCUUUUAUGGCUGGGGAGAGGUUGGCUUUUUUUUUUUUUUUUCAAAUAUUCCCUAAAUCUAGUUUAUUAUUUUUAUUUUGAUAGAUCUAAUGCUCCAAAUCUAAUGCAGUCAGGAAGUUUGUGUAAGUUAUUCAAAAGCACAGUCAAACAUAAACAUCAAUUGCAAAUUACUAUCUUAGGAAUUAAAAAUAUAGAGACAAAGGGAGAGUUACAAGUAAAUAGUUACAAAAAAGCAAUCAGCAUAUUUUCAUGUACCUGUUAGCCAUUUGUAUGUCUUCUUUGGGAAAAUGUCUAUUCAAGUCCUCUGCCUAU
Molecule: long non-coding RNA, 4172 nt
Organism: Aethalodelphis obliquidens (Pacific white-sided dolphin)
Lineage: Eukaryota; Metazoa; Chordata; Mammalia; Artiodactyla; Delphinidae
Exons: 3
Source: RefSeq, a predicted model, not a curated record